CCUACGGGAGGCAGCAGUAGGGAAUCUUCCACAAUGGGCGAAAGCCUGAUGGAGCAACGCCGCGUGGGUGCAGAAGGUCUUCGGAUCGUAAAACCCUGUUGUUAGAGAAGAAAGUGCGUGAGAGUAACUGUUCACGUGUCGACGGUAUCUAACCAGAAAGCCACGGCUAACUACGUGCCAGCAGCCGCGGUAAUACGUAGGUGGCAAGCGUUAUCCGGAUUUAUUGGGCGUAAAGGGAACGCAGGCGGUCUUUUAAGUCUGAUGUGAAAGCCUUCGGCUUAACCGGAGUAGUGCAUUGGAAACUGUGAGACUUGAGUGCAGCAGAGGAGAGUGGAACUCCAUGUGUAGCGGUUAAAUGCGUAGAUAUAUGGAAGAACACCAGUGGCGCACGCGGCUCUCUGGUCUGUACCUGACGCUGAGGUUCGAAAGCGUGGGUAGCAAACAGGAUUAGAUACCCGAGUAGUC
This 465-nucleotide ribosomal RNA is filed under the name uncultured bacterium. RNAcentral describes it as "partial 16S ribosomal RNA". It matches the Rfam family "Bacterial small subunit ribosomal RNA", at positions 338 to 795 of the family's 1533-position model. The record is from RNAcentral.